Molecule: long non-coding RNA, 1380 nt
Organism: Canis lupus familiaris (dog)
Lineage: Eukaryota; Metazoa; Chordata; Mammalia; Carnivora; Canidae
Exons: 3
Source: RefSeq, a predicted model, not a curated record
CCAGACCAGACCAUCCUCCUAUAGAAAACCAGGCUAUUAUCCCAGAGCCCCUCACCUCUGGAGUCCCUGCUGAAGGAGAGGACACCCCCCAACCCAAAGCAGGAGGCACACACCUGGACCUCCCCACAGCAGCUCCAGCCCAGUGAAGUCAUGGUCUUCAGAGGGCUCCAGGGGAUGAGGUCCUGACGAGGGGAGAUGGACCAGCCUCCAGAGAGGCAUUCCUACAAAUGCAAACCCCCACCUGAGAUGGAUGAAAGGGUGCAGAAGGCUCUGAUUGUCCGUGAUAUUCCAUGGUGACAGGUCAGCAUCAUCCCAAGGGAUCCAUGGGGACCCUACUCGGAAUGCCUGAAACAGAGCAGAACCCAUGGUGGGGACCUAUCUGUGCCAGGGACAUGGGGAAAAGAGGGAACAGAGUAUCUCCUCUCCCCAGAAUCCUGAGGGAGAUCAGGACCCUCUCAGAUUCGUCGGGCAUAAGAAGAAGGGCCUGUUUGCCCAACGGGAGCAGCCUGACAGCCUUAUCUGCUUCACCAGAGAUGAUCCUCACCUGGGCCUGAACUGAUCUGGUGACCAGUCCCCACAUGAGCAUCACCUGGACCUGGUGACCGUGGUCCCCACCUGGGCUCAUUGGCUACCGAUCACUACGAGCCAAGAUGGACCCUCACUUCUACUGAUGCCCUGCUUUGAUUCAGAUCCCUGAUUGGGUCUCACCUCCAUUGGAUGGCUAUACAUCAGGACAUCUGGAGCACCUGAGGACUAUGAUCCCCACCUGGCCUUACCUGCUCCUACUGGCAACAUCACCCCUUGGUUCUCAUUGGCUGGACUCUGCUAUGAUCCUCAACCGGUACAUAAUUGCUGUUACUGCUUAUGAUACCAUUUGGGCCAUACCUGCUGCCACAUACCUAAGUAUACAACCACCUGGGCCUCAUGGGGACCUGGUGACUGUGAUCCCCACCUGGGUUCAUCGGCUACUGGUGUCUAAGAUCCAGGAUGGACCCUCACUUGCUCCUGAUGCCUGGGUCCAUCCCCAGCAUCUCAUUUGUUCUUGGUGACUGUGGUCCUUCUCUGGACUGACCUGUCAUGCUUGCCUCUGAUCCAUUCCUGGGAUUCACCUGCCCUUGCAGGAAGGGUCCCCACCUCUAGUGGGUUCUCUAGCAUCUAUGGUACUUGUCUGGGCCUCAGAUGAUGGUAUUCGGCUAUAUCAGCCCUUUCCAAGGCUAGCAGGGUCUCUAGGUCCUCUUGCCUGGUGCUACAAACCAAACACAUUCAAGGAUGACACCGCAUGAAAACCUUCAGAGGGGAUCCCUGGGUGGCGCAGCGGUUUGGCGCCUGCCUUUGGCCCAGGGCGCGAUCCUGGAGACCCGGGAUCGAAUCCCACAUCAG